AUACUGAAAUGCAUGGUGGGAAAUCAGUGUGAAAUUCAUUGGCUGUUCCUGCAACCGUAAAGUCGGAGCGCCACCCGGUAU
Molecule: non-coding RNA, 81 nt
Submitted as: unclassified sequences
Source: Rfam